GACGAACGCUGGCGGCGUGCCUAAUACAUGCAAGUCGAGCGCAGGAAAUCAUCCGAACCUUUCGGGGGGACGUUGAUGGAAUGAGCGGCGGACGGGUGAGUAACACGUAAAGAACCUGCCCUCAGGUCUGGGAUAACCACGAGAAAUCGGGGCUAAUACCGGAUGGGUAAUCGGACCGCAUGGUCCGAGGAUGAAAGGCGCUUCGGCGUCGCCUGGGGAUGGCUUUGCGGUGCAUUAGCUAGUUGGUGGGGUAAUGGCCCACCAAGGGGACGAUGCAUAGCCGACCUGAGAGGGUGAUCGGCCACACUGGGACUGAGACACGGCCCAGAGUCCUCCGGGAGGCAGCAGUAGGGAAUCUUCCACAAUGGACGAAAGUCUGAUGGAGCAACGCCGCGUGAACGAUGAAGGCCUUCGGGUCGUAAAGUUCUGUUGUAAGGGAAGAACAAGUGCCGCAGGCAAUGGCGGCACCUUGACGGUACCUUGCGAGAAAGCCACGGCUAACUACGUGCCAGCAGCCGCCGUAA
This 524-nucleotide ribosomal RNA is filed under the name uncultured bacterium. Its description in RNAcentral is "partial 16S ribosomal RNA". It matches the Rfam family "Bacterial small subunit ribosomal RNA", at positions 28 to 523 of the family's 1533-position model. The record is from RNAcentral.